UGGGGAAUCUUCCGCAAUGGGCGAAAGCCUGACGGAGCAACGCCGCGUGAGUGAAGACGGCCUUCGGGUUGUAAAGCUCUGUUAUACGGGACGAAUAGUCUUGUGGUUAAUACCCAUAAGAAGUGACGGUACCGUAAGAGAAAGCCACGGCUAACUACGUGCCAGCAGCCGCGGUAAUACGUAGGUGGCAAGCGUUGUCCGGAAUUAUUGGGCGUAAAGGGCGCGCAGGCGGCUUCUUAAGUCUGUCUUAAAAGUGCGGGGCUUAACCCCGUGAUGGGAUGGAAACUGGGAAGCUCAGAGUAUCGGAGAGGAAAGCGGAAUUCCUAGUGUAGCGGUGAAAUGCGUAGAUAUUAGGAGGAACACCAGUGGCGAAAGCGGCUUUCUGGACGAAAACUGACGCUGAGGCGCGAAAGCCAGGGGAGCGAACGGGAUUAGAUACCCCGGUAGUCCUGGCCGUAAACGAUGGGUACUAGGUGUAGGAGGUAUCGACCCCUUCUGUGCCGGAGUUAACGCAAUAAGUACCCCGCCUGGGGAGUACGGCCGCAAGGUUG
Molecule: ribosomal RNA, 551 nt
Filed under: uncultured bacterium
Lineage: Bacteria
Description: bacterial SSU rRNA
Rfam family: Bacterial small subunit ribosomal RNA
Source: RNAcentral